Molecule: ribosomal RNA, 253 nt
Filed under: uncultured bacterium
Lineage: Bacteria
Description: partial 16S ribosomal RNA
Rfam family: Bacterial small subunit ribosomal RNA
Source: RNAcentral
UACGUAGGGGGCAAGCGUUGUUCGGAAUUACUGGGCGUAAAGGGCUCGUAGGUGGCCAACUAAGUCAGACGUGAAAUCCCUCAGCUUAACUGGGGAACUGCGUCUGAUACUGGAUGGCUUGAGAUUGGGAGAGGGAUGCGGAAUUCCAGGUGUAGCGGUGAAAUGCGUAGAUAUCUGGAGGAACACCGGUGGCGAAGGCGGCAUCCUGGACCAACACUGACACUGAGGAGCGAAAGCGUGGGGAGCAAACAGG